Molecule: long non-coding RNA, 1900 nt
Organism: Hylaeus volcanicus
Lineage: Eukaryota; Metazoa; Arthropoda; Insecta; Hymenoptera; Colletidae
Exons: 4
Source: RefSeq, a predicted model, not a curated record
CAAACAGUUUAAUUAAUUAAAACUGUUUUUUAAUGAUUUUUGGGUAAACAAAGUGUAACGUCAAGUUACAUUAAAAGGUGCAAUUGCGAUCAAUUAAUUUCCUACUCGAAUGACGAUACAUCAGUUAAGAAAACUCUUCAGCUACUUGGGAAUAGCUCGCCGUGAUCUGGAUUUUCAAGAUCUGGAAACGUAUUUAAUCAUAAACGAAACACAUCGGUGGUUUGCAAUAAAUACGUGAGCCGCAGCAGCAGCAGUAGCAGCAGCAGCAGCAGUUGGAGAAAGUUUUAACGAACAUUUUAAAAUGUCACCCACCGCCUGCCGCGUUUCCAUUCAAAGAAUCGAAUAAGAUCCAAAUCUAGUCCAAUUAUACAAACGGGAGCUUAGAUUUAAUAUAAUACAAAUUAUAACUAGUUAUAAUUAUUAAUUUAUUUAAAUUAUCAGUUAUAAUACAUUCGAAUAAUUAUUAUAAUUAUUUUAAUCGUUGCACGUUUAAAUAAUAAUUUGAAAAAAAAUUCACUAGAAAGUUAAAGGUAAAAUACGUUUUAUCUCGCGGAAGACAAGUGUAUAAUAUAAAAAGGUAGUUUUUAAUCAUGCUGCACGGUUUUAAUAUGGUCAAAUAUCAUAGUGAUCCUAUCAUGCUGGAAUAUUUUCUUAAAAAGUGUACAAUGUUUGGUUGUUUGUACACUGGUGUGAGGACCAAGAUGACGAAACUUGCAACGCUUUUAAUGACGAAUCACUAGCCAUAUCGGUGAGUAAUCGCCAAUCAUUUACCAUUUCUAGAUACAUAAACUUGCAUUUCGAUGACGUAAUUGCAACGAUAUUUCGUUUUAGGUUAAUUGAUUCCCGUCUGAAUAUUCAGCGUAUAAUAAUAUUUAGCGUUAUUUAGUAGAUUAUCUCUGGAUAUGUAUGUAUGUAUGAAUAUACAUGUAGUUUGUUUGGAAUAGCCAGAUAGCCUUUUUCAUAAAAUAAAAAGAAUUAUCCAUCUAUCGUUUUACUGUUAUGACCACGAGUAUGAGUAGUAUUAAACUACGUCGCGUUUCUUGCGCGACAAACUCGUCGCACAAUCAUGUCAUACUUAAUCUAUGUAGAUAUAUACAUACUCACUCGUACGUACAUACGUUGGACAGAGUAAAUCUUAGCGAAACUGUAUUUUCGUGUCGAUAAGAUUCGAUUGGAAAUAUGUAGACUAGAACUCGACUUGUACUCGCGUGAAUUCUCGACUUGAUUUGGAACUUGUGUGCCAACACACUGUAGUUUCGAACGUGCAGUUUAUAACAAAGUUGAGAAUACACUCGGCAACGUUCAAGAUUCGUUCUCUUCUAUCAUCGGUGAAACUGAAACGACAGGACAUGAUUAUAGCUAUACAUUUGGAGAGAAUUGGUGCUACUGUAUACAUAUGUAACUCUACUUCGUAGAACUCGAGAUUUACGGCUAACCGGUGCGGCGCGGCCCGGCCCGGCGAUACGAUGCCGAUGCAGCAAACUAUGUAUUAUCUAUACGUAUACAUAUAUCUAUGUAUGUAUAUGAUGUAUUCUCGCAUCAAUGAUAUUGCUUCGAUGAAUGUGACUUGUAGACACGAGGCACGAAAUUUACGGAAUUUAAAACAAUUGAUUCUACACGAUCCUACAUCUGCACACAUUCCAGUUGGAAACAGUGAUUGAUAUUGUACCGUGUAUAGUAGUAUUAUACAUAUAUGCGUUAAAAAUGAUACCUGUACCUUACAUACGUAACGUGUACUCGGAAUAAAAGUGGAUAGAUUUUGCAGAUUUCUAGGAAAGGAACAAUUGUGGAAGAUUUCAAUAAAAUUCGAGUCUUAAAUGCGGAUACUCACUCGUAGCUCUAAUGAAAAGCAUCGAGGUAUCGUGGACUAGACGAAAUAUCGAUGUUCUACGAGGUAUCA